This 253-nucleotide unclassified non-coding RNA is filed under the name uncultured Rhodobacterales bacterium. RNAcentral describes it as "contains 16S-23S intergenic spacer region". It matches the Rfam family "Bacterial small subunit ribosomal RNA", at positions 524 to 776 of the family's 1533-position model. The record is from RNAcentral. Lineage: Bacteria; Pseudomonadati; Pseudomonadota; Alphaproteobacteria; Rhodobacterales.
UGCGGAGGGGACUAGAGUUGUUCGGAAUUACUGGGCGUAAAGCGCGCGUAGGCGGAUUAGUAAGUCAGAGGUGAAAUCCCGAGGCUCAACCCCGGAACUGCCUUUGAUACUGCUAGUCUUGAGUUCGAGAGAGGUUAGUGGUAUUCCGAGUGUAGAGGUGAAAUUCGUAGAUAUUCGUAGGAACACCAGUGGCGAAGGCGGCUCACUGGCUCGAUACUGACGCUGAGGUGCGAAAGCGUGGGGAGCAAACAGG